RNAcentral lists this ribosomal RNA (427 nucleotides) under uncultured bacterium. RNAcentral's name for it is "partial 16S ribosomal RNA". It matches the Rfam family "Bacterial small subunit ribosomal RNA", at positions 355 to 774 of the family's 1533-position model. The record is from RNAcentral.
UGGGGAAUAUUGGACAAUGGGCGAAAGCCUGAUCCAGCCAUGCCGCGUGUGUGAAGAAGGUCUUCGGAUUGUAAAGCACUUUAAGUUGGGAGGAAGGGCAUUAACCUAAUACGUUAGUGUUUUGACGUUACCGACAGAAUAAGCACCGGCUAACUCUGUGCCAGCAGCCGCGGUAAUACAGAGGGUGCAAGCGUUAAUCGGAAUUACUGGGCGUAAAGCGCGCGUAGGUGGUUUGUUAAGUUGGAUGUGAAAUCCCCGGGCUCAACCUGGGAACUGCAUUCAAAACUGACUGACUAGAGUAAGGUAGAGGGUGGUGGAAUUUCCUGUGUAGCGGUGAAAUGCGUAGAUAUAGGAAGGAACACCAGUGGCGAAGGCGACCACCUGGACUAAUACUGACACUGAGGUGCGAAAGCGUGGGGAGCAAACA